Long non-coding RNA from Pezoporus occidentalis (night parrot), 1372 nucleotides. RefSeq lists it as uncharacterized. The transcript is spliced from 2 exons. NCBI's taxonomy places the organism in Eukaryota, Metazoa, Chordata, Aves, Psittaciformes, Psittacidae. The record is from RefSeq and is a predicted model, not a curated record.
ACCCCUAGAAUGUGAGCAGCAGCUCAGGGAGGGGAUCCUGCCCCUCUGCUGCAUGAAGGGGAGACCUGAGAGCAGCUCCAGUGCCUAAAGGGGCUGCAGGAAACCUGGAGAGGGGCUUGGGACAAGGGAUGGAGGGACAGACCGAGGGGAAUGACUUUAACCUGCCAGAGGGGAGACUGAGAUGAGCUCUUAGGCAGAAGCUCUUCCCUGGGAGGGUGCUGAGGUGCUGGCACAGGGUGCCCAGAGAAGCUGUGGCUGCCCCAUCCCUGGCAGGGUUCAAGGCCAGGUUGGACACGGGCUUGGAGCACCCUGCUCUAGUAUGAGGUGUCCCUGCCCAUGGCAGGGGUUGGAACUGGAUGGGCUUUAAGGUCCCUUCCAACCCAAACCGUUCCAUGAUCCUAUGAUUCUAUGAUUCUGACUUAAUGAGAAUUUAUAGGGAUGAAGGAUGUGGAUUAAGUAGCAGCAGAUUAGUGCUCCCUCCCUCCAUUUUUGGGGGGUAAAUGCAUGUUUUUACAAAAGGUUUUACUUUAUUAUGUUGAAACCUCCUUGCAAGUGCUCUUCAUUCUCCAGUUUCUAUUGGGGUUGGAGAAAAGCUCUCCCUUUUCGAUGUUAAAACCUCAUUCAUUUUGGGGAGACAGAACAGAAAUCAUAGAAUCCUAGACUGGUUUGGGUUAGAAGGGACCUUAAGAUCAUCUAGUUUCAGCCCCCUGCCAUGGGCAGGAUAUGUCCCAUGGUAUUCAAGGCUGGGUUGGAUGGGGCUUGGAGCAACCUCCUCUAGUGAAAGGUGUCCCUGCCCGUGGCAGGGGGUUGGAACUGGAUGAGCUUCAAGGUCCUUUCCAACCCAGACCAUUCUGUGACUCCAUGAUACGGAUCCACAUUGCAUUCAACCCCUUUCCUAAGGGAUGCAUUCACUGGUGGACUCCCAUCUGCUCGCAGCACCAUGACAAGAGCUUUUGGCAGCAAAUUACCCACUUCCAGCUCAGGAUUAGAGUUUACCCCGUGAUUUUUACCGCGAUCCCAUGGGAUGCGCAGCUCGGAACAAAGCACCGACCUCAGCAGCGCGCGUCCCAUUGCGCCGGGAGCCUGGGCUGAUAAAUGCUGCUCAUAUCCCAUUCCAAGAUGAUGCAAGCAGGGCGGGUGGGUGGGUUUUUUUUUUGGUUGUAGUUUGUCUUCCAUUGCGGUAGUAAAGUUUUUAAUUAGGAAAGCUAAUGAGAUCGAUUAGUCAUUAGACCUGACCUCUGGAGCUGUGCGAGGAGCCCGCGUGUGUGCGCCGGGCUGAUAACGGGGGACGCUGGGGUAUUGUUUGUAAUAAAAGCCAAAAGUGUUUGAUUUGAGUGAAAUGUGCCACGGGGAAUACAUCAUGUGGAGGAGA